GGAAUUGACGGGGCUCACACAAGCGGUGGAGCAUGUGGCUUAAUUCGAAGCAACGCGAAGAACCUUAUCCUGGGUUUGACAUGUAUGGAUGCCCUCGAUGAAAGUCGAGUAAGCUGCCUUCGGGUGAAACAUACACAGGUGCUGCAUGGCUGUCGUCAGCUCGUGUCGUGAGAUGUUGGGUUAAGUCCCGCAACGAGCGCAACCCUUACCCUUAGUUGUUUCCCGAAAGGAUUACCCUCUAAGGGGACUGCCCCGGACAACGGGGAGGAAGGUGGGGAUGACGUCAAGUCCGCAUGCUCCUUACGUCUAGGGCUACACACGUCCUACAAUGGGGUCGACAGUGGGAUGCAAAGCCGCGAGGUGGAGCCAAUCCCCAAACGGCCUCUCAGUUCGGAUAGUAGUCUGCAACUCGACUACUUGAAGUCGGAAUCGCUAGUAAUGGCGGAUCAGCAUGCCGCCGUGAAUACGUUCCCGGGUCUU
Molecule: ribosomal RNA, 480 nt
Filed under: uncultured bacterium
Lineage: Bacteria
Description: bacterial SSU rRNA
Rfam family: Bacterial small subunit ribosomal RNA
Source: RNAcentral